RNAcentral lists this unclassified non-coding RNA (254 nucleotides) under Hevea brasiliensis (rubber tree). The record is from RNAcentral. Lineage: Eukaryota; Viridiplantae; Streptophyta; Magnoliopsida; Malpighiales; Euphorbiaceae.
CAAAUUGAGCCUUGCUAACACCAGUCCUUACACGACGGGGCGGCACGCUGGAGCUUCGUUUGAUUGCAGGAAUCUAUCUCAAGCCCAUAACUUGUGCCUCCGCUCGCAUGAUGAAGGGUUAGGGCUUUGAUUUUCACUCCCUUCCAUUCCAAAGCCGUGCAAAAUUAAUUCCAGUCCUGUUAGGGUUAGGGUUUAACGAUUUCAUAGACAUGUAUGCUGAUCGAGUGGAGGCUGCGGCGAAGAGGUCGGUAAAG